GGAUCCGCUUUGCUGAUCCUUAAUGUGAUAAGAUGUUUCUACAUUUUGGAUUUAGUACUGUCCCUUGGAUGCCUGCUUCUAACCGGUCUUAUGGACAAAUGAUGGUGCUCUGGUCACUGCCAAUCUACAUUGGUGGGAGGCUGGACCCACAGAAAAAAAACCUUGACCUCAAAUCGGGUGAGACUACCCGCUGAACUUAA
Molecule: unclassified non-coding RNA, 200 nt
Filed under: soil metagenome
Description: partial contains internal transcribed spacer 2 and large subunit ribosomal RNA
Source: RNAcentral